This is a non-coding RNA of Sus scrofa (pig), 523 nucleotides long. Lineage: Eukaryota; Metazoa; Chordata; Mammalia; Artiodactyla; Suidae. The record is from RefSeq and is a predicted model, not a curated record.
CCCCAGCAUGUGGCCCCAAAGUACAACCUCCCAGUUAAUUUUUGGAAUAAAUCUGAAGUUACUUGUAAACCAAAUCAUAUUUACUAAAUCUGAGUAAUAUAUAUUAAAAGUUGGAAUUUAGGGGGAGUUUCUGCAGCAGUCAGCAGUCUUUUCCAUCUACCAUAAUUCUCCAGGGGGAGUGGGGCUGGGCCCUUCCUUCCCUCAGCAGCCAGAAAGGCUGCGCCUCUUAAAAUGCCUCUCGUUUUAAAUGCCCAGGGCAAAGGAGAAAUGGAAAAGCCAUACCAGAAAGGACAGAGAGGCAGGUGAAGGGUAGAGUGAAACUUCAAGCUUGGAAAGCAUCUCAGCAUGCAGGAGUAAUGUAAUUUAAUGUUUUCAUUCACAAUACUCUUCUUUUUUUUUUACUCUACAAAUGUAAUGCAAUAAACAUUACAACUGUGUGUGAUCCGUUAUACUUAGUGAUAUAACUGCUUCUAAUGAAAAAAAAAAAAAGUACCCUGGUUCAUAGGCAAGGGGGAAGUGUACA